GAUGAAGAACGUAGCGAAAUGCGAUAAGUAAUGUGAAUUGCAGAAUUCAGUGAAUCAUCGAAUCUUUGAACGCACAUUGCGCCCUCUGGUAUUCCGGGGGGCAUGCCUGUUCGAGCGUCAUUAUAACCACUCAAGCUCUCGCUUGGUAUUGGGGUUCGCGGUUCCGCGGCCCCUAAAAUCAGUGGCGGUGCCUGUCGGCUCUACGCGUAGUAAUACUCCUCGCGAUUGAGUCCGGUAGGUCUACUUGCCAGCAACCCCCAAUUUUUACAGGUUGACCUCGGAUCAGGUAGGGAUACCCGCUGAACUUAAGCAUAUCAAUAGGCGGAGGA
Molecule: unclassified non-coding RNA, 329 nt
Filed under: soil metagenome
Description: partial contains 5.8S ribosomal RNA, internal transcribed spacer 2, and large subunit ribosomal RNA
Rfam family: 5.8S ribosomal RNA (bases 1-120)
Source: RNAcentral